RNAcentral lists this unclassified non-coding RNA (937 nucleotides) under Hevea brasiliensis (rubber tree). The record is from RNAcentral. Lineage: Eukaryota; Viridiplantae; Streptophyta; Magnoliopsida; Malpighiales; Euphorbiaceae.
AAACCGAAAACUGCACACCCCUAACUCACACACACACACACAUUUGGUUUGGGUUAAACUUUUACCCUGUUAACUCAUAACCUAAAUCGAAAAUUCAAUUUAUAAUUAUUUUCAAUCCAUAACUAAUAUUUAAAUGUAUAAAACUAUUAAUUUCAAUUUAGAUUCAUUCGAGUUGAUUGGGUUUAUCGAUUUAGUAGUUUCAUUGUACACCCUUACUUUUCCCUCUCCUUAACACAAAAGCUACAAAGAAGAACCCCCCAACCCUGCUGCCUUCCUUCUUUGGCCAUAAGCCUAGACCAAAGGCGAGCUACCUGCGAACCAGUGACAUCAAGCAAGCUUCGGCAAUGUCAAGCAGCUGUUUAGCAGCUUGAAAAUGGGAGGAAUGACCUUGGAAGGGGGAGAAAGAUGUUGUUGCAUUCUCACCAUCAGAUUCCCAUCAACUAGCCACAACAUGGUCAAAUACUUGGCCCAACUAACUCAUUAGAGGAUGGUAAGCCUGGAGUGAUGGUUAUCAUUAUCCUUACUAAAAACACGCUUUUCAAAGAAGAAAAGAGAAAAUUUGAGCAAUAACUUUUUUGAUAAGAUGACGGACAAUUCGACCGUUGGAUCUACGACCUGAGCCCAACAAUGAACUCAGCGCAUCUUCGAGAUGGAACCAAUCCGGCUCUAAUCAGACACAGUUUGGAAAAGCGAUCAUCGAAUGGUCCAGGUUGUGCAGCUAGAUUUUUGAAACUUUUCAAUCCUUAUUUAUUAAAUAUAAAUAUAUGAUAAUUAUUAAUACCAUUUGGGCUUCAUUGAGAUACAAUUGAGUUGACGAUACCCUUUCGACACUUGAACUAACUUUUCGACCCAAUUUGGACACCAGGUGGGUUAACCUGAACACGGUUGUGUUAACAGUCAAUCCUAGGGUUGUUAGAUAUUUUGGACAUAUUCUAGG